UCCAGCGUGGUAUAAUGGUUUGGAUGCUAGACUAGAACACUGGAGGCGAGGGUUCGAAUCCCCACUCAGCCA
Phrynosoma platyrhinos (Desert horned lizard) is the source of this 72-nucleotide non-coding RNA. The record is from the annotation of a GenBank genome assembly. NCBI's taxonomy places the organism in Eukaryota, Metazoa, Chordata, Lepidosauria, Squamata, Phrynosomatidae.